Long non-coding RNA from Oreochromis niloticus (Nile tilapia), 202 nucleotides. RefSeq lists it as uncharacterized. The transcript is spliced from 3 exons. Lineage: Eukaryota; Metazoa; Chordata; Actinopteri; Cichliformes; Cichlidae. The record is from RefSeq and is a predicted model, not a curated record.
UAUUAUUCUCCUGCUCUUGUUGUAUCGCUGCAGACAGUCCAAGUAUUCCUGCUUCACCAGGUCGAUCCAGUCUGAGAGUCACAGUCCGGGCUCCUCCACAAAUCAUGGAGUCAACCAGAAUGAAACUCAUGAAUACAACUCUCUUCAUCCUGGUCAGCACUUAAACCGAUCUUAUACACAUCGAGGGCCGUUCAGAGUUUAG